This is a long non-coding RNA of Cyprinus carpio (common carp), 2470 nucleotides long. The record is from Ensembl. Lineage: Eukaryota; Metazoa; Chordata; Actinopteri; Cypriniformes; Cyprinidae.
CAAAUACUUGGAGAAAACUGACUGUAAAUUUUGUGCUAUCUUCCAGUAUAUGCUGGCUAAGAUCUUCAUUGGUCUUCAACCCCAUACACUUCAACCCCAUCACAAUAUACUGUAAAUCAGAAAACUUGUUUAUUUAUUAUGAAUGUGACCUGAUAAAUCAGGUCUCCUAGUAUAGUCAGGGGCGUCGGACUGGGGGUAAAACCAGUACUAAUUACCAGGGCCCCAAAGGAAGAGAGGGCCCUUGAAAAGUCUGUAAUAUAUUUUAUUUUACCUGGAUAUUUUCAAGGGUGGGGAUGGUGGCAUGGGGGCCCAUCAGGACUGCCUAUGCAUAGGGCCCGGGAUCUUGUGCAACGCCCCUGAGUAUAGUAUCUGUUCUUUCAGAUAAACAUUAGCAAACGUGCUAUAAUGUGAGUCGGGUGAGUCAACCCCCCGAACCUUUACCUUUAAAAUCCGAAGUUCCUAUAAAUCACUUAGCCUCCUUAAACCCAUUGUUUAAUACACACACAUUGUGACACCGGCUAAAGCAGCCGAAAUAAACUGCAGUGCGCUUAGAAAACAAAAAGAUGCGCAUUUGUACACUGAUUUCUUCUGAGGAAGAGCGAGAGAGAGCUAGAGAGAGAGAGUGUGUGUGUGUGUGUGUGUGUGUGUGUGAGAGAGGGAGAGAGAGAGAGAGAGAGAGAGAGAGAGAGAGAGAGAGACUUGCUCGUGCAGGGAGCGUGUUCGGCGUUCACUUCACCUCCCACAUGUAACGUGGCAGACAGCGAUGGCAAAGCUCCUCAACAAGUGAAGCGUGUUGUCUUCAGUUCCCCGAACAAUCGCAGCAUGGUUGCGGUGAGCGCGGAGAGCCCCGUGGAUCAGUACCGGACGCUGGCGUACGACACCGCGCUCAGUACUUUACUCGCUGUGCUGGUGUACGUGGUGGUGAAGGUGAACCUGGACGGGAUCCGCCAGUGGCGGGCUCGGAUCUCGGUUCUGAUCGUGGGCUCGGGUCCGAUCGGGCUGACCGCGGCUCUGGUCGCUGUCCGCUCCGGCAAGGUGCUGAAACUGACGCUCCUGGAUGAGCGCUACCGGAGCGCGCUGCUCUGCAGACCGCAGCAGAUCGCGCUGGACCCCCGCAGCGUCCGCUUCCUCCUGGACCUGGGGGUGGAUUUUGACAACAUGGAAGGCUGCUGGCACAACGAGCACUUCUUCACCAAAAUCGGAGUGUUUCAGGAGUAUUUGUUGAGCAUCCUGGAGCAGAAGAAGCAAAAGGUUGACGUGAAAGUCCAUUUGGGUACAAAGUUUAGCGAGGAGUACCUGAGGAAGAUGCCGAGGGGUGAAUGGCCGCGGGUGAUUGUAGUUGCUGACGGUUCGUGUGGAGACUCCUGCUCUGUGCUGGGCAUCAGCGCUGAUUACAUCGUGGAAUCAUGUCGCGCUUAUGGUGCCAAUGCUACAAUAGAAAGAACGGACCAGAGACAGGUUCCUACACCAGAGAUCCGUGCACAUAGUUUGUAUUUUGAUCUGUCUGCGUACGGGAUCGACACUGUGAGGGAAUCACGCAGCUCCUCUCAGCCGGCAGCGAAGCCUGGAUUCCACCUGAAGAUCUACGGGACGUUCCGGAACCGCUGCAUGGCUCUGGCCUGCACUUCAGACGCAGACUCCAAAAUGAUGCAUUUCCUGCGCCACACGGCCAACUCUUCAAUCAUGAAGAACAUCUUCCACCAGUCGUUCAACGCGUAUAAGACAGACAUCGAGCCUCGUCUGAGUGAACUGACGCUGCACCACAUGCAGUGCAGCCGCAAGCUGUUCCAGAUCAUGCUGUCCUACAGACGCGUCAGCGCCGCUUACAUCGAAGGAGACAACAUCGCCGUGACUGUGGAAGGAGAAGCUGCGCGAGUGCUCAACUUCGACACUGGUUGUGGUGUGAAUCUGGGCAUGAGGGGACUGGAGUCGCUGGGAAUGUUCAUCUACAGAACGGCCACGGCUCUGGACCAGAAUGACGUGUUCGAGGCGCUCUCGGCCAAAAUCCAGCACUCCAGACACGUGGCAGAGACGUUCAGGAAGAGCGGACUGGCCUCAGCUGUGUUUGAAUGACCCUGAGUGUGUGUGUGUGUGUGUGUGUGUGUGUGUCAGAGAAACAGUGUGUGUGUGUUCUGAGGUGAGUCAUAAACUAUAACACGUAAUGCUUACAGAAUAAUGAUCUGUUUUUGGAAUAUUGAGUAUUCAGUGCACAUUAGAGUGACCAGAGUUUGUACAUUAGCACUUCAUUUGUGGGAAAAAAAAGUGUAUUGGUGUAAUGUGAUGGUAAACUUGGUACAUUGUGUUUUUGAGUAGUUUAAACAUCUUAAACAUCUGAUCCAGCCUAAAAUGACCACAAUCCUAAAGAAAACCUUACUGAAGAUACAGUGACCUUUAGAAAUAUUUGGCCACUUACAAAAGUAUAAAAGCCACUGCAUUAGAUAAUAAAAUAUCAAAGCAAGAGUCCUAAUCA